This 86-nucleotide transfer RNA is filed under the name Ignavibacteriales bacterium. RNAcentral's name for it is "tRNA-Leu". It matches the Rfam family "tRNA". From Rfam's summary of the family: Transfer RNA (tRNA) molecules are approximately 80 nucleotides in length. Their secondary structure includes four short double-helical elements and three loops (D, anti-codon, and T loops). The record is from RNAcentral. RNAcentral also lists the same sequence under 1 other name. Lineage: Bacteria; Pseudomonadati; Ignavibacteriota; Ignavibacteria; Ignavibacteriales.
GCCGAAGUGGCGGAAUUGGUAGACGCGCUGGACUCAAAAUCCAGUUUGGCUCAAACCAAGUGCCGGUUCGAGUCCGGCCUUCGGUA